UACGGCGGAUGCAAGCGUUAUCCGGAAUGAUUGGGCGUAAAGCGUCCGCAGGUGGCUAUGUAAGUCUGCUGUUAAAGAGUGAGGCUCAACCUCAUAAGAGCAGUGGAAACUACAUGGCUAGAGUGCGUUCGGGGCAGAGGGAAUUCCUGGUGUAGCGGUGAAAUGCGUAGAGAUCAGGAAGAACACCGGUGGCGAAAGCGCUCUGCUAGGCCGCAACUGACACUCAUGGACGAAAGCUAGGGGAGCGAAUGGG
Molecule: ribosomal RNA, 253 nt
Filed under: uncultured bacterium
Lineage: Bacteria
Description: partial 16S ribosomal RNA
Rfam family: Bacterial small subunit ribosomal RNA
Source: RNAcentral